UACGUAGGUCCCGAGCGUUGUCCGGAUUUAUUGGGCGUAAAGCGAGCGCAGGUGGUUUAUUAAGUCUGGUGUAAAAGGCAGUGGCUCAACCAUUGUAUGCAUUGGAAACUGGUAGACUUGAGUGCAGGAGAGGAGAGUGGAAUUCCUAGUGUAGCGGUGAAAUGCGUAGAUAUUAGGAAGAACACCAGUGGCGAAGGCGGCUUUCUGGACUGAAACUGACGCUGAGGCACGAAAGCGUGGGGAGCGAACAGG
Molecule: ribosomal RNA, 252 nt
Filed under: uncultured bacterium
Lineage: Bacteria
Description: partial 16S ribosomal RNA
Rfam family: Bacterial small subunit ribosomal RNA
Source: RNAcentral